GUGUUGAAGGCCCUGCAAAGCAGCAUCGCGGUGGCGGAGCGUCGUUUGCGACGCCCAACACACAAAACAAGCGGUGAGUGCUUUGGGGUGGGGUGACUGCGUACCUUUUGUAUAAUGGGUCAGCGACUUAUAUUCUGUAGCAAGGUUAACCGUAUAGGGGAGCCGAAGGGAAACCGAGUCUUAACUGGGCGUUAAGUUGCAGGGUAUAGACCCGAAACCCGGUGAUCUAGCCAUGGGCAGGUUGAAGGUUGGGUAACACUAACUGGAGGACCGAACCGACUAAUGUUGAAAAAUUAGCGGAUGACUUGUGGCUGGGGGUGAAAGGCCAAUCAAACCGGGAGAUAGCUGGUUCUCCCCGAAAGCUAUUUAGGUAGCGCCUCGUGAACUCAUCUUCGGGGGUAGAGCACUGUUUCGGCUAGGGGGUCAUCCCGACUUACCAACCCGAUGCAAACUGCGAAUACCGAAGAAUGUUAUCACGGGAGACACACGGCGGGUGCUAACGUCCGUCGUGAAGAGGGAAACAACCCAGACCGCCAGCUAAGGUCCCAAAGUCACAGUUAAGUGGGAAACGAUGUGGGAAGGCUCAGACAGCCAGGAUGUUGGCUUAGAAGCAGCCAUCAUUUAAAGAAAGCGUAAUAGCUCACUGGUCGAGUCGGCCUGCGCGGAAGAUGUAACGGGGCUAAACUGUGCACCGAAGCUGCGGCAGCGACGCUUAUGCGUUGUUGGGUAGGGGAGCGUUCUGUAAGCCUGCGAAGGUGUCCUGUGAGGGAUGCUGGAGGUAUCAGAAGUGCGAAUGCUGACAUAAGUAACGAUAAUGCGGGUGAAAAGCCCGCUCGCCGGAAGACCAAGGGUUCCUGUCCAACGUUAAUCGGGGCAGGGUGAGUCGACCCCUAAGGCGAGGCCGAAAGGCGUAGUCGAUGGGAAACGGGUUAAUAUUCCCGUACUUGGUGUUACUGCGAAGGGGGGACGGAGAAGGCUAUGUUGGCCGGGCGACGGUUGUCCCGGUUUAAGCGUGUAGGCUGGUUUUCCAGGCAAAUCCGGAAAAUCAAG
Molecule: ribosomal RNA, 1050 nt
Filed under: Salmonella enterica
Lineage: Bacteria; Pseudomonadati; Pseudomonadota; Gammaproteobacteria; Enterobacterales; Enterobacteriaceae
Also listed under: 1 other name
Description: partial 23S ribosomal RNA
Rfam family: Bacterial large subunit ribosomal RNA
Source: RNAcentral